This 501-nucleotide ribosomal RNA is filed under the name uncultured bacterium. RNAcentral describes it as "partial 16S ribosomal RNA". It matches the Rfam family "Bacterial small subunit ribosomal RNA", at positions 30 to 523 of the family's 1533-position model. The record is from RNAcentral.
AUUGAACGCUGGCGGCAUGCCUUACACAUGCAAGUCGAACGGCAGCACGGGAGCAAUCCUGGUGGCGAGUGGCGAACGGGUGAGUAAUAUAUCGGAACGUGCCCAGUAGUGGGGGAUAACUGCUCGAAAGAGCAGCUAAUACCGCAUACGACCUGAGGGUGAAAGGGGGGGAUCGCAUGACCUCUCGCUAUUGGAGCGGCCGAUAUCAGAUUAGCUAGUUGGUGGGGUAAAGGCCUACCAAGGCAACGAUCUGUAGUUGGUCUGAGAGGACGACCAGCCACACUGGGACUGGGACACGGCCCAGACUCCUACGGGAGGUAGCAGUGGGGAAUUUUGGACAAUGGGCGCAAGCCUGAUCCAGCAAUGCCGCGUGCAGGAAGAAGGCCUUCGGGUUGUAAACUGCUUUUGUCAGGGAAGAAAUCCUCUAGGUUAAUACCCUUGGGGGGAUGACGGUACCUGAAGAAUAAGCACCGGCUAACUACGUGCCAGCCGCCGCAGUAA